Molecule: small nucleolar RNA, 87 nt
Organism: Camellia sinensis
Lineage: Eukaryota; Viridiplantae; Streptophyta; Magnoliopsida; Ericales; Theaceae
Product: small nucleolar RNA Z159/U59
Source: RefSeq, a predicted model, not a curated record
GUCUCUUAUGAUGAUCAAUUGAAAAACUUUUGUUCUUCCGAGAAAAAUUCCAUGUGGAAAUAUUAUGGAGACUUGAACUGAAGAGAC